Molecule: long non-coding RNA, 820 nt
Filed under: Rosa chinensis
Lineage: Eukaryota; Viridiplantae; Streptophyta; Magnoliopsida; Rosales; Rosaceae
Description: sRNA RchiOBHm_Chr4g0417621
Source: RNAcentral
CCUCUCUCUUAGUCCUGAAUUUCUUGCCGUCACCUACUUCAUCUCAAUCUCAAUCUCUCUGCAUUCAUCUUAAUGCCAUAAUAUCCAUGGCAGAUCCAUAAUCUUCAUAAAACACAAUCCUCACGUACUAGCAAGAUUCUAACUCCAUCUCUACAAUCACAUCCAUCUGAAAUGCCAGCUUAUACCAAAAACUCUAUUAUCCACCAAAAUCCCCAAAUCAAUCCAACUGAUCUCUAUUUUGCAACUCAUAAUUCAUUGAUACCUAUGUGGUUCUGAACAAACUUCAUUGGGUACAUCUCAUCCUCAACCAAUCGUUACAGAAGUAAGAAAAUGAUUCCUCAAAUUGGAGGUCUCUCAGAUGAUGAAGAAUUCAUGAGCAUGAUAAACAUCCCUGCUGCAAGAAAUACAAGGCUAGAAUCAUCCCCUCCUGUGAACGUAAAUGAUACUGUAAGAUCAUCAACAAUCCCAACUGUUGGCAAUGAGGUGUCGAUUGAACCGGCAAUAAAUGUCAAUGACAGUGGUGCAAAUAGUAGGCCAAGUAAGAAGCGUAAGCAAAAGACUCGCAAGACUCGAGGAAAGAAUAAGCCUAAGUUUGCAUUAGAAGGACGAGAGAAACUCCAAUUUAAUGCCAUUGGGCAGCCUGUUGGCCCAAGUAAAAAAGUUGUAGAAUUUGGUCGAUUCAUUGGACAACUUGCAAGUGAAUGCUCCAAUUUUCCUCUCAAUGCUGAAAAUUGGGCUGAGAUUUGCAAGGCAGGCAAAGUAGAUGAGGCAUGGCAAACUGUUCAAGAUGCAUUGGAUUGGUCAGAUCCUGAAACUCUAA